Molecule: long non-coding RNA, 1246 nt
Organism: Sarcophilus harrisii (Tasmanian devil)
Lineage: Eukaryota; Metazoa; Chordata; Mammalia; Dasyuromorphia; Dasyuridae
Exons: 5
Source: RefSeq, a predicted model, not a curated record
AGCCCUGUGCCAGUAUUUCCAAUGUUUCAUAAUAAAUUUCAGAGUGUUUCAAAAAGACCUUGAGAGGGUCCUUGUAUUGCUUCUUCUGAUCUCUGUGGGAGUUAACUUAUGUGAAUUCUCCAUAAAAUAGUUUUUUAGGUAAAUAUAAAUUUGGCAUUUGAGCAACAUGGUAAGCCUAUUGGAGCAGAGUUUUAACAUUUGGUAAUUCAGCUUGAGAAAGGACCUCAGUGUCUGAUACUUUAUUUUACCAAGUGAUCUUCAGAUUCUUCCUAAGAUAUAUCAAAUUUAAGCAAUUCAGUUUCUUGGACUGGCACUGGAAUACUAUUCACAGAUAUUCAACAAUGAAGUCAGCACAAUAGCUUUAUGGACCCACAAUCUGCAAACUCAGCCUCUGAUCAUCUGCCUCCUAGGGCUCAGGAAAAGGGAAGACUUUGUGCCUGAGUUUUUCCUCUGGAAGAAAGGUUCCAGAGACUGUGAGAUUCCCAAAGAGAAGAUAUGAAGUUUAAAAUUCCAUCCUCUAAGGUCAACCUUAUUCAAAUGGAGGAAACAAGUAAGAUGACAGUGAAACAGAAUGACACUAUAUAUUAAGAAAAUAUACACAUGUGUAGAUAGCCUGGAGUAGCUGACAGAAUCAAGAACACUUGGAUUCAUCAAACUUCUUUACAGGAAGUGGCCUGACCAAACGGACAUCAUAUUUGUCAGGAUAUUACAGAAAAAAAAAAGAUACAAAAACUUUCUGGGUAUCCUGCUAAGACCCAAGCCUACUACCCUACUAUGCAAAUCUUCCAUAUCCAAUUUGGGAAUGGCAUUUCCCAUGGAAUCUCUGGCCAGUUCAUUGGGCAGAACAGAAAACUAUUCUCUGAACUCUAUCAGCGACCAGUGCUGUCUGUAUCCAGUGAACUUCAGGCAUAUAAAAACUGUAAGAAUUGGCAGACUACUAGAAGAAACUCCAUUUCAGGAAGACCACCUGGAUGAAGGAAUAUGUGCCGGACAUCCUGCUCUCAUAACAGAGAAACAAGGUCAGAAAAGGGGAAGAGGUGAUCAGAGCCUUCCAGAAAAAAGGUCUAAAGUUUCUUUCAGGAUCAAGUCCUUUAAAUUUUUUUUUUUUUUUUAAUGUUUAAGAGCAUGGAGUUGAUCUAAAGAAAGUACCCUUUUGUUAGGGCAGUUUAUGUAAUGAUGGAAAUUAUUUUUCCAUUAUUAUAUUUGUCUAUUUUCUUAAAUAUAGUAAUAACAUAUUUUGUACAUA